RNAcentral lists this ribosomal RNA (426 nucleotides) under uncultured Actinomycetes bacterium. RNAcentral describes it as "bacterial SSU rRNA". It matches the Rfam family "Bacterial small subunit ribosomal RNA", at positions 233 to 671 of the family's 1533-position model. The record is from RNAcentral. Lineage: Bacteria; Bacillati; Actinomycetota; Actinomycetes.
GCGGCCUAUCAGCUUGUUGGUGAGGUAAUGGCUCACCAAGGCGACGACGGGUAGCCGGCCUGAGAGGGCGACCGGCCACACUGGGACUGAGACACGGCCCAGACUCCUACGGGAGGCAGCAGUGGGGAAUAUUGGGCAAUGGAGGGAACUCUGACCCAGCGACGCCGCGUGCGGGAUGAAGGCCUUCGGGUUGUAAACCGCUUUCAGCAAGGAAGAAGCGAAAGUGACGGUACUUGCAGAAGAAGCACCGGCUAACUAUGUGCCAGCAGCCGCGGUAAUACAUAGGGUGCAAGCGUUGUCCGGAAUUAUUGGGCGUAAAGAGCUCGUAGGUCGUUUGUUACGUCGGAUGUGAAAACCUGAGGCUCAACCUCAGGCCUGCAUUCGAUACGGGCAAACUAGAGUUUGGUAGGGGAGACUGGAAUUCCU